CCAGACUCCUACGGGAGGCAGCAGUGAGGAAUAUUGGUCAAUGGGCGGAAGCCUGAACCAGCCAAGUCGCGUGAGGGAAGAAGGCCCUGCGGGUCGCAGACCUCUUUGGACGGGGAGCAAGGCCGCCGACGUGUCGGCGGAAGGAGAGUACCCGUAGAACAAGCAUCGGCUAACUACGUGCCAGCAGCCGCGGUAAUACGUAGGGUGCAAGCGUUAUCCGGAUUUAUUGGGCGUAAAGGGCUCGUAGGCGGUUCGUCGCGUCCGGUGUGAAAGUCCAUCGCUUAACGGUGGAUCCGCGCCGGGUACGGGCGGGCUUGAGUGCGGUAGGGGAGACUGGAAUUCCCGGUGUAACGGUGGAAUGUGUAGAUAUCGGGAAGAACACCAAUGGCGAAGGCAGGUCUCUGGGCCGUUACUGACGCUGAGGAGCGAAAGCGUGGGGAGCGAACAGGAUUAGAUACCCUCGUA
RNAcentral lists this ribosomal RNA (465 nucleotides) under uncultured bacterium. Its description in RNAcentral is "bacterial SSU rRNA". It matches the Rfam family "Bacterial small subunit ribosomal RNA", at positions 331 to 792 of the family's 1533-position model. The record is from RNAcentral.